Cydia splendana is the source of this 1583-nucleotide long non-coding RNA. RefSeq lists it as uncharacterized. Lineage: Eukaryota; Metazoa; Arthropoda; Insecta; Lepidoptera; Tortricidae. The transcript has 2 exons. The record is from RefSeq and is a predicted model, not a curated record.
ACGAAUUUAGACCUGAGAGUAGGACCUGGGAGUUAUACCCUGUAUCUUUAGAUAUUUAAAUAAAAGUAAACAAAAUCUACCCUCAAAUGGCUCUUUAAGCCAGUUGAGGGUAGAUAAAACAUUACAUGAUCAAAUAAUGUAGGUUAAAAUCAGGUCGUUCAGUGACAGGUCCACGCGGUUUUGUAUUUGGUUGGUUAGCCAAUAAAUGUUAUAACUACCCGAAAAUGUACAAAUUGUUUGUUUACUUUUAUUUAAAAUACCUAAAGAUACAGAGUAUAGGUAUAUUAGGUAUGAUAUCGUGAACGAUACGAAAAACCUCGGUCUUCGUGUGCGGACUGUAUUGCUGUAAAAUAUAUCGUUUUCAUCCCAUCUUAGCGGCUCAAAAAAAACAUUCUUUGCAUUAUGAGCAUUUAUCCCAAAAUUUUAGUUGAGUUUGAAGUCGCCAAUAAAGUACCUAUAGUCAGCAACGGACGUGCCUAAGGGGGCGAUCAGGAAGUUGUCAAAAUGAUCUAAACAUAACUUUGUUGUUAAGGCAGUAAGCGCGUAUUAAGUAAAUGUUUUUGGACACCCCGCUUCGUCGCUUCUGCUGACCGUACUCUGGAAUGGCACCCCAAUAUGGUAGUUUAAUGUACGUAGGUGCUAAGUUAUUUGUACGGCAUUGCGCAGAUAUAGAUAUUAUAGAUAGACAGCAGAAUAACCAAUGUAUUGUAGAAAUGGGGACGGGCUGGUAUGUCACCGUUUUAAUUACCUAUAUACUUUAAAGUUCGCUGAAUUUUGACCCACACAAAAGUUCAUCAUUAAGAGUAAUUUAAGUGCGUUCAUGUCUGAUUGAGUGAUUGUGGUCGUUAACUACACGCGUUUAGAACAUAACGUAGAAAGAUGUGCGGAGCGCGUAUAACUGUAACAUAAUGAUGGGUGAAUCAAUUUUUUCUUGUCACUCGUAAAAUGUCAUUUUUCCUAUAUUCCGUUGAUCACAUGCAUAUUCAACCAUUGCAUUAAACAACGGCGUGUUUUAACCUUUUUGACGCCAAUGACGGAUAUAUCCGAUCCGCACCGUAGGUCCAACGGUGAAGAAGGAUUAAUCCGUCACAGACCACCGAGCAACAUAGAUCUACGUGCAUACGCAUAAAGUUCAAUUUCAGUUUUGACACUUCGGUGACGUGGCGUAUGAGUGACAGCUUUUGUGACACGGCGUUGAAAAGGUUAAUGGUAGGCGCUUACCACUACAUAAAGUCGCAUACUAGGCGGGUUUAUGGCAGUGAAUGUGUUAAAUGUCAAGUUUUUAUGAAAAUAUGUAUUAUAAUAUGUUUUUAAUGACACCUCUCCACUUUGUUAUGUCAUUUAAUAGUGUGAAGGAUAUCAUUUAUCAUAUUACGUAGGUACGGCUUUAUUCAGUGAUGUUAAAACAGUUUCAUACCGAGGCCCCAGUAGUCGCGAUAGUAAGAAAAUGUAAUUAAGACUAGCACACGUAAGUUUUUAUUUUUAUAUACGUUACGACUAGGCUAAUUGUUCUAUUGUAGUCGCGUUGUGUUGAGUAUGUUCCGUUGUAUCGGUUCGGAUAAUCAAUAAAUAUUUUAACUGUA